RNAcentral lists this microRNA precursor (125 nucleotides) under Setaria italica (foxtail millet). RNAcentral's name for it is "MIR396 microRNA precursor family". It matches the Rfam family "MIR396 microRNA precursor family". RNAcentral also lists the same sequence under 1 other name. The record is from Rfam by way of RNAcentral. Lineage: Eukaryota; Viridiplantae; Streptophyta; Magnoliopsida; Poales; Poaceae.
CUUUGCGAUCUUCCACAGCUUUCUUGAACUGCUGCGUGAAUUCGAAGUGGCAGAACAGAUUGCUUGGGUUCAGCCGGAGAUCUACCGAUCGAGCAGUUCAAUAAAGCUGUGGGAAAUUGCAAAGA